Molecule: ribosomal RNA, 354 nt
Filed under: Triticum aestivum (bread wheat)
Lineage: Eukaryota; Viridiplantae; Streptophyta; Magnoliopsida; Poales; Poaceae
Description: partial small subunit ribosomal RNA
Source: RNAcentral
AUGGCUCCUCCGGCUUCUUACCCUUGUCACCACCACCACUGCCCUUCUUUUGAACACAUCCACUUCCACUUCCAGCUCCAUCAGCACCGUCGACGACCUCCCCGCCCUCCUAUCGUUCAAAUCCCUCAUCACGAAGGAUCCCUCGGGUGCACUCUCCUCAUGGACCAUCAACAGCAGCUCCAAUGGCAGUACUCAUGGCUUCUGCAGCUGGACCGGCGUGAAAUGCAGCAGUGCUCACCGGGGCCAUGUCAAGGCGCUGCGCUUACAAGGUCUUGGCCUCUCCGGGACCAUUUCACCAUUUCUUGGGAACCUCACGCGUCUCCAUGCACUCGAUUUGUCCGACAACAAGCUUGA